Molecule: long non-coding RNA, 386 nt
Filed under: Dromaius novaehollandiae (emu)
Lineage: Eukaryota; Metazoa; Chordata; Aves; Casuariiformes; Dromaiidae
Description: lncRNA (ENSDNVG00000003659.1)
Source: RNAcentral
AGAAAGAGCUUUGAAAAGGGAAGACUAUAACAGAGCUUAAGAGAAGACUGCAGAGUCUUGUGCAUGACUUUCCUUGAAUGCAGGAAUAUCUCCGACUCUUGCUCCCUUGUGGCUUCUCCCUGGAAGACAGAGGAGUAUCAAAAAGUGAAUUGAUGCUGUUCCAAGGAGACGCGGUUAUGUCUGGGACAGCAACGGAGGUAUGGACGUGGGAAGUAUACAUGUCAAACAAAUAUGUAUGCGUYAGAACACCAAAUACCAAUGGAAAUGUUGCUGUCGCUACAGAGCAAGCAUCAGUGAAUCCUGGUUGUUUUACUGUAUGGGCUGCAGGACCUCGAGGGGAUCCUUCCGGGGCUCUGAAUUGUGGAAAGUUUACGUGCAUGUUCUAA